This is a long non-coding RNA of Paramisgurnus dabryanus, 1456 nucleotides long. RefSeq lists it as uncharacterized. NCBI's taxonomy places the organism in Eukaryota, Metazoa, Chordata, Actinopteri, Cypriniformes, Cobitidae. The record is from RefSeq and is a predicted model, not a curated record.
UGUAGGUCAGCACAAUCAGGCCACGCCUCCAGGGUGUUAAGUGGGAGGAGCUUGAUCUUUAUUUAAUUUCCAAAGCAAAACAUUUCUCUCAUUUGCGGCUUUAAUGGCAUUUCUCAUAACUUUAACCCCCUGGGGUCCAAAAACGCGGGGCCGCGUUUUGACGCAUUUUUUCCUGUUUCCUGUGACAUCCACUUAAAAUACUCCGUCAUUCAUAAUCAUACACAUACAUGUAAUACAUCAUUAGAAACUGUGAAGUGUCUACUUUAAUGUGAGUGCCUUCAUAAUAACAACAAAACCGUGUGCUUUUGGCAAAUAAAGAAAAUAAACAGGGAGUGCAUUUCGACAUCUCUGUCUCCUUGACCAUCUUCCUCAAACACGUUACAAACAUGAACUGAUAACUCCGCCAAUACUUGUCACACGAACAUGAUACAUGUGUCUAAAGAAAGCCUGAAAUGUCUACUUUUACAUGAUGCAAUUAAAAUCUGAAGAACUCAUUGUCUGUUUGUGUAAUCGACAUGUAAGUAAAGAGAGGUACAGUUUUUCUUGCUCAACCUCAUUAGCACUAAUGUGAUCCCACCUACCCGCGUGCGCGCAAUUCAUAUGGAAAUUACCUGAUGCGGGCUAUGCAAACAAGAUCAACGCCCCCAAACAAUGCUUUGAGAAGCAGCAAGUUUUGACAGUUUCAUUCACUUAUCGAUGCGCUGGGAAAAUGAAAUGACACGCUUUACAGGUGAGGAAGCUCUACAGAUGCUCCUGGACAGCGAGGAAGAGUUCACAGUUUCUUCAGACGAAGAGCAGGACUCCGACGAUGAACGUUUUUAUUUUGAAGAGCGACUUGAUCCAGCUGAGGAUAUAAUUUCUGAAGAAUUUACUGACAGUGAUAAGGCACCUGUUGCAAAAAGAGUCAAGACCAACAUCCAGGCAAGCAGCAGCAGGUCCAUUCUGUCAUGGAAAACAGAGGCUGAUAUUGAUGUGGUUCCACACACUUUGCGUUUCUUUCCUGCACUAAAGAUGAUCUCCAUCAGGCACUACUGGAGACAGGACGAUGUUUUCUCCGUGCCUUUUCCUGCCAGAGUAAUGUCAAGAGAGAGAUACUGCACUAUUUCAUGGAAUGUGCACAUGAGUCACCCAGAAGACCAAAAACAUGUAAUGUUCUAUUGUGUGUUCAGUUAAAUAGGAACUGUUUUGAACAAUGGCACGACAACAUUUAACUCCAUUCUCAAAGAGUUACAGUGUGUGAUGGUUUACAAAUGUAUACCUUAUUUUUUAUAUUGUGAAGUAUUUUUAGAUGCACACCAAACUGUACAUUCAUAGCUGACAUUUAGAAUAAUUUUCUUUUAAUUAGAGCCAUAUUGUACUGGUCAUAUAGAAUAUUGUUACAUGUAUUGUUACUUUAUUAUUUAUAAUUACAAUGAUGCUUCUUUAUUGAUAAUUACAAUAAAGCUUUUUAACUCUA